This 415-nucleotide ribosomal RNA is filed under the name uncultured beta proteobacterium. RNAcentral describes it as "bacterial SSU rRNA". It matches the Rfam family "Bacterial small subunit ribosomal RNA", at positions 9 to 428 of the family's 1533-position model. The record is from RNAcentral. Lineage: Bacteria; Pseudomonadati; Pseudomonadota; Betaproteobacteria.
GAGUUUGAUCGUGGCUCAGAUUGAACGCUGGCGGCAUGCUUUACACAUGCAAGUCGAGCGGCAGCGCGGGGGCAACCCUGGCGGCGAGCGGCGGACGGGUGAGUAAUGCAUCGGAACGUAUCCCGUAGUGGGGGACAACCCAGCGAAAGCUGGGCUAAUACCGCAUAUGCUCUACGGAGGAAAGUGGGGGACCGCAAGGCCUCACGCUAUGGGAGCGGCCGAUGUCCGAUUAGCUAGUUGGUGGGGUAAUCGCUUACCAAGGCGACGAUCGGUAGCUGGUCUGAGAGGAUGAUCAGCCACACUGGGACUGAGACACGGCCCAGACUCCUACGGGAGGCAGCAGUGGGGAAUUUUGGACAAUGGGGGCAACCCUGAUCCAGCCAUGCCGCGUGCGGGAAGAAGGCCUCGGUUGUAA